AUUUUGGACAAUGGGGGAAACCCUGAUCCAGCCAUCCCGCGUGUAUGAUGAAGGCUUUCGGUUUGUCAAGAACUUUUUGCAGAGAUGAAAAGUUAUCUCCUAAUACGAUAUACUGCUUACGGAAUCUGCAGAAUAAGCACCGGCUAACUACGUGCCAGCAGCCGCGGGAAUACGUAGGGGACAAGCGUUAAUCGGAAUUACUGGGGGUAAAGCGUGUGUAGGCGGUUCGGAAAGAAAGAUGUGAAAUCCCAGGGCUCAACCUUGGAACUGCAUUUUUAACUGCCGAGCUAGAGUAUGUCAGAGGGGGGUAGAAUUCAACGUGUAACAGUGAAAUGCGUAGAUAUGUGGAGGAAUACCGAUGGCGAAGGCAGCCCCCUGGGAUAAUACUGACGCUCAGACACGAAAGCGUGGGGAGCAAACAG
Molecule: ribosomal RNA, 422 nt
Filed under: uncultured bacterium
Lineage: Bacteria
Description: partial 16S ribosomal RNA
Rfam family: Bacterial small subunit ribosomal RNA
Source: RNAcentral